AACGAACGCUGGCGGCAUGCCUAACACAUGCAAGUCGAACGAGACCUUCGGGUCUAGUGGCGCACGGGUGCGUAACGCGUGGGAACCUGCCCUUAGGUUCGGAAUAACUCCCCGAAGGGGGUGCUAAUGCCGGAUAAUGUCUUCGGACCAAAGAUUUAUCGCCUGUGGAUGGGCCCGUGUUGGAUUAGCUGGUUGGUAGGGUAAAAGCCUACCAAGGCGACGAUGCUUAGCUGGUCUGAGAGGAUGAUCCGCCACACUGGGACUGAGACCCGGCCCAGACUCCUACGGGACGCAGCAGUGGGGAAUACUGGACAAUGGGGGAAAGCCUGACACAGCAACGCCGCGUGAGUGAUGAAGGCCUUAGGGUUGUAAAGCUCUUUGACACGGGAUGAUAAUGACAGUACCGGGAGAAUAAGCUCCGGCUAACUCCGUG
RNAcentral lists this ribosomal RNA (433 nucleotides) under uncultured bacterium. Its description in RNAcentral is "partial 16S ribosomal RNA". It matches the Rfam family "Bacterial small subunit ribosomal RNA", at positions 29 to 507 of the family's 1533-position model. The record is from RNAcentral.